UCGAAUUGGCAUACUGAAGUUGUGCGACAGU
Molecule: non-coding RNA, 31 nt
Filed under: Mus musculus (house mouse)
Lineage: Eukaryota; Metazoa; Chordata; Mammalia; Rodentia; Muridae
Source: RNAcentral